UUCAGACAGAAAGAAGCUGCCUCUCUCGCCCCUGCCUUCUUCCACUGCCCCAGAGCAGCACUCCCUCUGCAGCCAACCAAACAAAAGUCAUUCCUGGAUUUGAGCCUGACUCUGCCACCUACUCGCAGCGUGCCUCCAGUGCACUCAGGCGGUGUACCUAGACUGUCCGUGCCAAGUUGUUUUGACAGCACAUGGGGGUAUAAAAAGAAAUAGAAGACAAUGGUUCUUCCUAUGGGGGUGCACGUGGUAACAGUCGGAGAGGGGACGCGAGCUUGCAAAGCCACCAGACAUCAAUCAAAUGCAAUAUGUGAAGAUGUGCUUUGUCAUACAAGUGUGAACAGCAAUAAACUACGUGUAUAGUCAAGAAGCUCUGGAGUAAGAAAUAUGUGAUAAAAGUGUGAGCAGUUUUAAACCAUGUGUAUACGUGUUGAAAAGCCCUGAGGUAGGAAUAUUUUUAAA
Diceros bicornis minor is the source of this 459-nucleotide long non-coding RNA. RefSeq lists it as uncharacterized. NCBI's taxonomy places the organism in Eukaryota, Metazoa, Chordata, Mammalia, Perissodactyla, Rhinocerotidae. The record is from RefSeq and is a predicted model, not a curated record. The transcript is spliced from 3 exons.